AUGGUUAGGCCGCCUCUGCCAACCACAAUCCAGCUGCCUCCGGGUUUCACUAUACCACCUGAAGAGUCUACCAGUGUUGAGAAAAUCUCUCUUGAACAGCCAGCACCCUGUUCCCCACGGACAGCAGCCACUUCAGCUACUGAAAGUUAUACCUCAUGCUGCCUUUGGGAAUAUUCCCUUUGCUGUCACGAACAAGAUUAUGGGACCAAGGUAACCCAACAAUAUAGGCUCAGCCAUCAGAUCAAGUGCAGCCCAGCCUCCUCUGGUGAAGGUGGCACAGUUACACCAGAGUUCUCAACUGAAAGAGAAUCAGGAAUUACAGAUAUACCAGCUGAGGUGAUGACCUUUAUUUCUUGAGCAGCACAGACUAGAUUAAGAACAGUUAUUGAAAAAGUCACAAUAAUAAUACAGCAUUGAAUGGAAUCAUACAGAGUAAGUACGUCCCAAAGAGGCUAAAUCUGGUGAAAUAUCUUGAAAGAUAAUAUAUUUGGUAAACACAUUUGGUCAAUCUCACCCUCCUUUCCUCCUGUCCAC
Molecule: long non-coding RNA, 534 nt
Filed under: Phascolarctos cinereus (koala)
Lineage: Eukaryota; Metazoa; Chordata; Mammalia; Diprotodontia; Phascolarctidae
Description: lncRNA (ENSPCIG00000023614.2)
Source: RNAcentral